Molecule: ribosomal RNA, 539 nt
Filed under: uncultured bacterium
Lineage: Bacteria
Description: bacterial SSU rRNA
Rfam family: Bacterial small subunit ribosomal RNA
Source: RNAcentral
AAUAGAUACCCCGGUAGUCCACGCCGUAAACGAUGGAUGCUAGCUGUUAUGAGUAUCGACCCUUGUAGUAGCGAAGCUAACGCGUUAAGCAUCCCGCCUGUGGAGUACGAGCGCAAGCUUAAAACAUAAGGGAAUUGACGGGGACCCGCACAAGCGGUGGAGCGUGUUGUUUAAUUCGAUGAUAAGCGAAGAGCCUUACCAAGGCUUGACAUCCCUGGAAUUUCUCCGAAAGGAGAGAGUGCCUUCGGGAAUCAGGUGACAGGUGAUGCAUGGCCGUCGUCAGCUCGUGUCGUGAGAUGUUUGGUUAAGUCCAUCAACGAGCGCAACCCUUGUAAAUAGUUGAAUUUUUCUAUUUAGACUGCCUCGGUAACGGGGAGGAAGGAGGGGAUGAUGUCAGGUCAGUAUUUCCCUUACGCCUUGGGCUACAAACACGCUACAAUGGCCGGUACAAAGGGCAGCCAACCCGCGAGGGGGAGCAAAUCCCAUCAAAACCGGUCUCAGUUCGGAUAGCAGGCUGAAAUUCGCCUGCUUGAAGCCGG